Molecule: ribosomal RNA, 497 nt
Filed under: uncultured bacterium
Lineage: Bacteria
Description: partial 16S ribosomal RNA
Rfam family: Bacterial small subunit ribosomal RNA
Source: RNAcentral
GGGGGGGGCGGGGGGGGGGCCGGGGGCGUGCGGGGCGGGCGGGCGGGCGGGAGGGGGGCGUCUCUGACGUUAGCGGCGGACGGGGGCGUAACGCGUGGAUAACCUACCUAUCAGACUGGGAUAACUUCGGGCACCCGGAGCUACUACCGGAUACUAUUUUCACCCGCACGGUUCAAACGUCAAAUCCCGUCUUGCUGUCCCUUCUCGCUCGAUCCGCGCUGCAUUAGCUAGUUGGCAAGGUAACGGCUUACCAAGGCACCGAUGCAUAGCCGACCUGAGAGGGGGAUCGGCCACACUGGAACUGAGAAACGGUCCAGACUCCUACGGGAGGCAGCAGUAGGGAAUCUUCCGCAAUGGGCGAAAGCCUGACGGAGCAACGCCGCGUGAGUGAUGAAGGUCUUCGGAUCGUAAAACUCUGUUAUUAGGGAAGAACAUAUGUGUAAGUAACUGUGCACAUCUUGACGGUACCUAAUCAGAAAGCCACGGCUAACUACGUG